Molecule: transfer RNA, 68 nt
Filed under: Pterapogon kauderni
Lineage: Eukaryota; Metazoa; Chordata; Actinopteri; Kurtiformes; Apogonidae
Description: tRNA-Ser
Source: RNAcentral
AAGAGAGGCUUGCAGCACCAGAGCCUGCUAAGCUCCUGGCUCCCCGGUUGAAUUCCGGGGCUCACUUA